This 2099-nucleotide long non-coding RNA is filed under the name Mytilus galloprovincialis (Mediterranean mussel). The record is from RNAcentral. Lineage: Eukaryota; Metazoa; Mollusca; Bivalvia; Mytilida; Mytilidae.
CCUAAACAUACAGUGUACGAUACUCAUAAAUUGGGCAACUUCUAGAAUUCCCAGGAUGAAGAUUACAAUACAUUCUAGACUAGUAUAUAUAUAUAAAUUAAAGCUGUUUUCGACACCUAAAAUACUAAAGAUUUUUAACGGUGGAGCAGACUGCAAGACAAGCUGUAAAUAAUUACUUAGUUUGUACUAGAUUUGCUAAUAUUACAUGUACAUAUCCGUUUAACUGCUACUGACAAAUUUAAAUUACACAAAACUUGAAAUAGUCUCAUUUAAAAGUUGAUUACAAGAUAAAACCAUUGGACCCCUUUUUUCCCUUAAUAUAUAUAUACAUGUAUAAAAAAAAAAAUCAAUAAUAAUGAAAAUGUCCCAACCCUGAGACUGGUUGGUAGGGUUUGUGGCAAACAGCAAUAAGAAGUCUGUCCUAAAUUAGUGAUCAAUAAAUAUACACUUCUAUAAACUUUUGUCCUUUAAAUUGUGGUACUUUAUUGCAAAAUCUGUAUUCAUGCAGUACAUGCAUAUCUGAUUUUUUUUUUCAGGUUAUUAAACAAGAUAAAUAUUAUAAUGUUAUAUAAAUCGAUAGCGUCCUCCAUUCAAAAUGUGAUAAAUACCAAAACAACAUUUAAAAGUUUCAAUGUAAUAUAUUAUAUAACAAUUAUAUAGAAUGUAACCUCAUAUUUACGAAAGUUUUUUUUAUUUCAAACACAUGAUGCGGCAUCCCAUCAUUGUAAGGCCAUAUAAAUUUGUAAAAGUAACACAUUCAGCAAUUUUAAGUUUAGAAACUGAGAUAUAAACAAUAGUGUACACAAAUCUUUUCAAUCUAACCCAUAAGAUUAGAAAAAAGUUGUCUUAAUCUAUAUAAAUAUGUUUGUUUGUUAUAUGUUGUAAUCACAUGUACAUUUUGUACAUGAGGGGGUUUAACUUAAAAGUAAUAUACUGCUUUUAACUAGUAAAUCUGACGAUUACCUGAAAAAUUCUCAACUGGAUCAUACCAAUGCAAAGCUCUAGGGUUUGGCAUAAAUAACAUCUGAUGAUGAUUCAAUGUACAAAUGUAGGUGACCAAAGGAGUUGAGUUAGUGGCGUGAUGAGUCGUGAAUCCAGUCCAGUCUGGUAACCCAUCUGUAAAAACUGGUGUGUCCUUGUUGUCCAAGUCUCUGGUCCAACUGUUACAACCCUUGGCCGUGUUCUGUGGCCGAGCAAGGUCUCUAACUGAUCUACCCAACAUUGUGCUACAACUCAACAAAAAGUAAAUAUUAGUUCCACCAUGCUACAUAGCAUUGACAUAACAAAACCAAAUGACUGUACAAAGAAACAAUAACAAUUAAAAAUUAUGUAUACUCAUACAUGUAGUUGUGUCGAUAAUAGUUACAAUAAUUUAAAAAAAAAUAAUUCAAAAUUAGUAUAUACAUGUAUACAGAUUUAUAUAUUUAUUAAACUUAAAUCCAUAGUCAGUUGAUAGUAACAUAGUGUAAUAUUAGUAUAUAAUUGAGUUAUUACAACAAUAAUUCAAGCUGUGGCCUGUUUACAUAUGGCUAAAUUCUUGAUUUAACUGAACUAUUCAUACCAUAUCGACCUAGUCUAGGCUAGAGAGUAGUAGCAACUAAAAAAUGUAUACAUGUCACUGUGAUGAACGACUCUUGACAAUUUUUAGUACACAAAUGUGUAGGUACACGCAAAAUUUAUAGCCGGAUAUAUACAGAUAAUGAUAAUAUUUGCUUAAAUCCACCAGCAAGCUAACAUUUAGCAAUGAUUUCUUUUGGCUACUGCUUCUUAACUCCGGGUAUGGUCUCUGUUCAAGAUUUCCAAGAUUUUUUUGUUUAUUUGUAUCGAAAGUUGAACUUCCGGUUACGAACCUGGGUCCUUCGCCCCAAAGAGUACGUCCCUUUUACGUUCAUAUCCUUUCAUGGAAUAUUUGCUGUAUAUGUGCUAUGAAAGAUCUAGAUACACAAUUACCGAUGUAUACCCUCUUAAGGAAAAUUUACUUUUAAUUCGGAAGUUUUCGGGAGUUCAUUAAAUAACACCUGCCCCACAACACAUAAUCAUUAAGACACGUUACUAACCUGCAUGAUCUGUUACAGCGCAAAUACAAUUUGUUAGGCUUA